RNAcentral lists this ribosomal RNA (216 nucleotides) under uncultured bacterium. RNAcentral's name for it is "partial 16S ribosomal RNA". It matches the Rfam family "Bacterial small subunit ribosomal RNA", at positions 118 to 334 of the family's 1533-position model. The record is from RNAcentral.
UACGCAACUUUCCUUCAAGCGGGGAAUAGCCCGGGGAAACCCGGAUUAAUACCCUAUAUUACAUUUGAAUGGCAUCAUUUAAAUAUUAAAGCUUCGGCACUUGAUGAUGGGCGUGCGGCUGAUUAGGUAGUUGGCGGAGUAAUAGCCCACCAAGCCUACGAUCAGUAGCUGAUGUGAGAGCAUGAUCAGCCACACGGGCACUGAGACACGGGCCCG